CUUAGCUCAGCUGGAUAGAGCAACAGCCUUCUAAGCUGUGGGUCGAGGGUUCAAAUCCUUCAG
This 63-nucleotide transfer RNA is filed under the name bovine gut metagenome. It matches the Rfam family "tRNA", at positions 6 to 65 of the family's 71-position model. From Rfam's summary of the family: Transfer RNA (tRNA) molecules are approximately 80 nucleotides in length. The record is from RNAcentral.